GUCCACGCCGUAAACGAUGUGCACUAGAUCCUGGGGGCUCUGACGUCUUCAGGGUCGAAGCAAAAGUGGUUAGUGCACCGCCUGGGGAGUACGGUCGCAAGGCUAAAACUCAAAGGAAUUGACGGGGGCUCACACAAGCGGUGGAGCAUGUGGCUUAAUUCGAAGCAACGCGAAGAACCUUAUCCUGGGCUUGACAUGCACGGAUUAACUCGCUGAAAGGCGAGCCACACCUUCGGGUGGAACGUGCACAGGUGCUGCAUGGCUGUCGU
This 269-nucleotide ribosomal RNA is filed under the name uncultured bacterium. Its description in RNAcentral is "partial 16S ribosomal RNA". It matches the Rfam family "Bacterial small subunit ribosomal RNA", at positions 793 to 1055 of the family's 1533-position model. The record is from RNAcentral.